GCGACCCUGCUGUGCACGUGUUUGCCCAUAUACGUUUUGAGCCAACAAGUCUUUGAAACGGGGGCUGUCUCUUCAGAGAGGAAUGCGAUAGCCGCGAGGCAAGGCAGACCACUGAGCAAGCCUCCAUCUUACGCAGGCAAGUUCAAAACUCAUGGGCACACGACACUGUGGGGUCACC
This 178-nucleotide non-coding RNA is filed under the name Anaerolineales bacterium. RNAcentral's name for it is "6S RNA". It matches the Rfam family "6S / SsrS RNA". Rfam says of the family: E. coli 6S RNA was the first non coding RNA to be sequenced, but its function was unknown until recently. It consists of 184 nucleotides that fold into an extended hairpin structure with a large single-stranded internal bulge. The 6S RNA specifically associates with RNA polymerase holoenzyme containing the sigma70 specificity factor. The record is from RNAcentral. Lineage: Bacteria; Bacillati; Chloroflexota; Anaerolineae; Anaerolineales.